CUGCUGCCUCCCGUAGGAGUUUGGGCCGUGUCUCAGUCCCAAUGUGGCCGUUCACCCUCUCAGGCCGGCUACUGAUCGUUGCCUUGGUAGGCCAUUACCCCACCAACUAGCUAAUCAAACGCGGAACCAUCGUAUACCACCAGAGUUUUCACACCGCUUCAUGCGAAGCUGUGCGCUUAUGCGGUAUUAGCACCUAUUUCUAAGUGUUAUCCCCCAGUAUACGGCAGGUUUUCCACGCGUUACUCACCCGUCCGCCACUAA
Molecule: ribosomal RNA, 261 nt
Filed under: uncultured bacterium
Lineage: Bacteria
Description: partial 16S ribosomal RNA
Source: RNAcentral